Molecule: ribosomal RNA, 497 nt
Filed under: uncultured bacterium
Lineage: Bacteria
Description: partial 16S ribosomal RNA
Rfam family: Bacterial small subunit ribosomal RNA
Source: RNAcentral
GAUGAACGCUGGCGGCGUGCCUAAUACAUGCAAGUCGAGCGAACGGACGAGAAGCUUGCUUCUCUGAUGUUAGCGGCGGACGGGUGAGUAACACGUGGAUAACCUACCUAUAAGACUGGGAUAACUUCGGGAAACCGGAGCUAAUACCGGAUAAUAUUUUGAACCGCAUGGUUCAAAAGUGAAAGACGGUCUUUCUUUCACUUAUAGAUGGAUCCGCGCUGCAUUAGCUAGUUGGUAAGGUAACGGCUUACCAAGGCAACGAUGCAUAGCCGACCUGAGAGGGUGAUCGGCCACACUGGAACUGAGACACGGUCCAGACUCCUACGGGAGGCAGCAGUAGGGAAUCUUCCGCAAUGGGCGAAAGCCUGACGGAGCAACGCCGCGUGAGUGAUGAAGGUCUUCGGAUCGUAAAACUCUGUUAUUAGGGAAGAACAUAUGUGUAAGUAACUGUGCACAUCUUGACGGUACCUAAUCAGAAAGCCACGGCUAACUACGUG